RNAcentral lists this ribosomal RNA (445 nucleotides) under Lachnospiraceae bacterium oral taxon 107. RNAcentral's name for it is "bacterial SSU rRNA". It matches the Rfam family "Bacterial small subunit ribosomal RNA", at positions 28 to 456 of the family's 1533-position model. Lineage: Bacteria; Bacillati; Bacillota; Clostridia; Lachnospirales; Lachnospiraceae. The record is from RNAcentral.
GAUGAACGCGGCGGCGUGCUUAACACAUGCAAGUCGAACGAAGCUGCCCAAAGGAAGUUUUCGGAUGGAAUUUAGGUAGACUUAGUGGCGGACGGGUGAGUAACGCGUGGAUAACCUGCCUUAUACAGGGGGAUAACGGAGAGAAAUUUCCGCUAAGACCGCAUAAGACCACAGCACCGCAUGGUGCAGGGGUAAAAUAUUUAUAGGUAUAAGAUGGAUCCGCGUCCGAUUAGCUUGUUGGUGAGGUAGAGGCUCACCAAGGCGACGAUCGGUAGCCGGCCUGAGAGGGUGAACGGCCACAUUGGGACUGAGACACGGCCCAAACUCCUACGGGAGGCAGCAGUGGGGAAUAUUGGACAAUGGGGGAAACCCUGAUCCAGCGACGCCGCGUGAGUGAAGAAGUAUUUCGGUAUGUAAAGCUCUAUCAGCAGGGAAGAAAAUGACG